CUAAAGACCAACACAAAAUAGGGGCAAAUGUGUGAAUGAUCCAGUAAUGGAAGCUCAGCCCAGUAUGAAGAAUGAAGCCAACAGGAGAAAAAGGGAAGUUCUUUGGAGGGUGGUUGCCCUCUCUGAUUGGCCUGUGAUUUCUCUUUUAACCAAACUAACAACCCUCUAUAAAAGUGGAAAAAAGAAACGAUGUUUGUUGUCAUUGCCUUCAAUGGUGGCAAUGUGAUGCUGAUGGCAGUUGUACUAUUCAAUUUUCUAAUUAUUCUGAGCUACAUUUAGUUGCAUGGUCAUAAGUAAGGACAGCAGGACAAAAAAUGACCCUCUGAGCUAAGGUCGGCUUAUGCUUUAAAGCCACUAAAUAGCAGUCCAAUCCAAACAGGCUUCUUAUUGAAUUUUUCUUGUUAAGGUUGUUCAAACGGGCUCUUCUGGAGAAGUUCCCAUUUUUAGGCAGUGAUGAUAUUUGCUAUUUUGGGCUGAUGUUUAUUGUUUGGGGCAUGGAGACAAUCUAACCCGUAUCUUGGCAUGGCAAAUCCAGAUGGCUUGUGAUUGAGUCUUCUCUUUCACAUGCAAUUGGUUCUUUUGCAGCCAUGGCGGUUGUUGCCUUCUCUUUGCCCCAAUUUUUUGCAGAUCUGAGCCUCAAUUUCCAACUAGUCCAACUGGAUGUCCCAGGACUCGAAGAGUUCUGAACCUAAAUGAUGAAAAAACCCUAUGUAUACACACACACACACACACACACAAAAACCACAUCAUGAGAAAAUGUCAAAAAUGGUCCCUUAUCGGGGCAAUGAUGAUCUUUCAAUCUAUCCUCUUUAGCUAGUAAUUGAGCAUUGAGAGUACCUGGCCGGUAUCUUGGCGGGGCAAUGACCCAGAUGCCUGUGAUUUUGUUGCAUGCAACUUGGGAAUAUUUGCAGCCAUGGCGUGACUGGUCUCCGACUUUCUUUGCCCGAGUAUAAGAUGGAUCUGAGCCUCAAUUGUCACUUAUGGGUGUAUUUGCUAUGGAGGAAAAUGUUUUAGUGUUCACUACAAUAAAAGAGACAUUUUGUGUCAAUAGAAUUUUCUCUUACUGACAAUAUUUAUUGCUGCAAAAACAUUUAGCUGCAAAUUAAGUUAAUGCCAUUGCAUCUAAAGUCGCUAAAGUCUUAAGUGACAUUUAUAUAGAGUGAUGUUUAUAAAUACUCAUAUAUGUUAUUGCCGCUAAAUAUAUUCUAGUAGCGAUUAUAUCAUUGCCACAAAAUCCUUUGUUUGUUGUAGUAGAAUCAGCCCUAAAGUGGCUACCUUGUGUACAACACCAUACUUAAAUGUGAUCCCAUUAUGGUCUGGAAAGUGGCUACCUUGUGUCAUUUCUACAUAUAAUAAGACCUUCGACAUGAGGCCCAUAAUGAGGCUGUGAUGAUUUUCAUUCUUUACUCAUCAGAUGGUUGAGCUUCACUAUAUCUUGGCUUGGCAUCUUUUGGGGGGUCUUGUGAGAUAUUGGAGCUAUUUGGGUUUCUGCCUCUCACAAAGACUCCUUAAGCUUGCAGCCAUGGUGGGGUUUAGCUUAUGUUUGAGAAAAGGCGAAUCUGAGCCUCCCAAAUCUGUUUGUGUGAAAGAACGAGGCUCUUUAUGCUACCCAACUUAUGCUGCAUAACUUAAUUCCUAUGGAACUUAUGCUGAGCGAGACAAAAGGUUCUCCAAACUCAUACAGAAACAAGAGCUCCUGAUUUUGGGGAAGUCCAUGCAAAAACUUGUUACUUUAAUGCAUUGAGAAAAUCUGACCUGUAUCUUGGCAGGGCAACCUGGUAUGACGUCAUCUGUAAACUGGCGUUUGCAGCCAUGGCAUUGGCCCUUUCUCUUUGCAUGUUCAUAUACAACAAAAUAUGAGCACUAAAGUCGAUGGUAAAUUUCUCAGUUGGUCACUCAACUCAAUGCGGGUUCUCAGGAACCUGAAUACCCUAUAGGGUUCAGUCCGAGCAACAUAGAAUACAUUCAAUGAGGCAAUGAAGAUGUUCAUUCUUUAAGAACCAUAUAGUUGAACUUUGUUGUAACUUGGUGUGGCAGCUCUAAGGGUCUGUGAGGUGAGAGAACUAUAUUGGUUUUCAUCUCACUAGGCUAUUAUGCUUGCAGCCAUGGCAUAGUUUAGCUUUUUCUGAGAAAAAAUAAAAUCUGAGCCUCCCAAGUAUCUGUUGUGUUUAGAGAAUGAGGCUUUUUAUUGAACUCGGGAAUGGUAGAGAUUUUCUAAGGGCGGUUAACUCUUUCUCCUAAGUUCAAUUUUGCCAAUGAAUUUUCCUAUGCUUUUGUUAUAAAUAUAAAGUUUAACAGCCCUUUCAAUUAGCAGAAUGCUCUUCAUGAUAUUGAUGAUAUGAUUGCCAUGAUUAUGGUAAUAAUAAAGGAAAAUAUAUGUUUUGCCCCUUUAACUUGUGGAAAACCCCGAACUAAACUUUUUGAAUAAGGCUGUGAUGAUAUUCUCCAAGAAGUUCGAAAAUCAGAUUUUUGAACUGAUUUAUAUCUUGUCUAGACAACGGCAGGGGAAUUUGUGAGGAUGCUUUUUGCAGCCAUGGUGGAUUGGCUCAUUUUUCUGAUUGAUUUUCACUCAAAUCUGAGCCUCUUUUCUGUUUAAAGUAUAGUUCUACAAUAUUUAGUCUUUCUCUUUCAUUCUUGAUACGAUCAGAUCAUAUAAGGAAGAGUCCCCUUUGAGAAAGAAACUUUUUAUGCAUCCAUCUAUACAAUUUCCCCAAAUUGUUAGGUACAUACUGAUAUGAGACAAGGCCAAUGGGAAUGGAAGUGAAUAUUGAGGAUCCGUAUAUUAAUGUUGCUGUAUUUUACUUUUUUGAUCAAGAUUUGUUGCUGCAUUUUUCCACAUAUUCAAACUUUGAUGUCUUGUUUUAAUCUUGAACGCUCCAAGUUUCAGAGGCAGUGAAGAUUCUUCAUAAUGAAAAUGAAAGUGAAGAAAAUUAGAGUUCAUUCGUGGCCUGGCUUGCGAGUUCAAUCGGAAGGUCUUAUAAGGCAACUGUUGCUUGCAGCCAGGGCACUGUUCAAACUCUGCUCUUCCUUUUCUUUUGAUUAAAUAGGCGAAAAUCUGAGCCUCAUUCUUAACUCUGUCCAUUUGCUUUUUUGUUUUUUGUUUUUUUUGUUUUACUAGUCUUUCUGGAAAGAGAUUUAGAUUACCAUCACUGUGGAACCACUUAAAUCAACAGCUAUCUCCCAACUCCAAAAGCCAAAAGGAAAAAUAAAUGAUUCUGCAUUGAGUACAUGCAUUUGUCAUCUUGAUUUGGUUGAUGAAAAUUGGAUCCUCCGCCCACAUGAAACGCAUCCACAGAAUCAGUGGCGUAGCCGGAAAUUUUUGAAGGAUGUUCAUAAAUGUGGACAUGGACUGUAGUAAUAACCGAUACGAUAAGCUAAACACAUGCUCACAUGUCCACUACCUAAACUUGGAACUGUUGGGAGAUUAUUGAUCAAAAGCACCAUAUUGGCCAAGUUAAUGGUGUAUUCUCAUUCCUGAUUAGAGGUACCAGAUGGGCAAAUUAAUUGGUCAAAGCAAUAGAGGUAGAGAGAAGAGGAAGCUCCAACUAUGACCAAAAAGAAUAGGGGAAAGCUGAUGGAUGUUGAUAAUCAUCAGGCUAGUUAUCUUCUACAUGGGCCUAACCAUUGUUUAAGAACAUGACAAGUUCACUUCCCUGAAGAAAUAAUUGUGGACAUCGUCAAAAGGUUACCCGUGCGGUCUCUUCUUCGAUUUAAAUGUGUUUCAAAAUUUUGGAAGACGUUAAUCUCUGAGCCUUACUUUAAGAUGAAGCAUCAAAGUCAUGUCAUGAAUGACUUAAAUUCGAAAAAGUUUCUUGUUAGCCAAUG
Solanum stenotomum is the source of this 3825-nucleotide long non-coding RNA. RefSeq lists it as uncharacterized. The record is from RefSeq and is a predicted model, not a curated record. The transcript has 4 exons. NCBI's taxonomy places the organism in Eukaryota, Viridiplantae, Streptophyta, Magnoliopsida, Solanales, Solanaceae.